GACAGAGGGUGCAAACGUUGUUCGGAAUUACUGGGCGUAAAGCGCGUGUAGGCGGCCCUGCAAGUCGGGUGUGAAAUCCCACGGCUCAACCGUGGAAGUGCACUCGAAACUGCAGGGCUAGAGUCCUGGAGAGGAAGGUGGAAUGCUUGGUGUAGAGGUGAAAUUCGUAGAUAUCAAGCGGAACACCGGUGGCGAAGGCGGCCUUCUGGGACAGUGACUGACGCUGAGACGCGAAAGCGUGGGGAGCAAACAGGGAU
This 257-nucleotide ribosomal RNA is filed under the name uncultured bacterium. RNAcentral describes it as "partial 16S ribosomal RNA". It matches the Rfam family "Bacterial small subunit ribosomal RNA", at positions 524 to 779 of the family's 1533-position model. The record is from RNAcentral.